RNAcentral lists this ribosomal RNA (446 nucleotides) under uncultured bacterium. Its description in RNAcentral is "partial 16S ribosomal RNA". It matches the Rfam family "Bacterial small subunit ribosomal RNA", at positions 331 to 793 of the family's 1533-position model. The record is from RNAcentral.
CCAGACUCCUACGGGAGGCAGCAGUGGGGAAUAUUGCACAAUGGGGGAAACCCUGAUGCAGCAACGCCGCGUGAGUGAGGAAGUAUUUCGGUAUGUAAAGCUCUAUCAGCAGGGAAUAGAAAAGAAGGUACCUGAAAAAGAAGCCCCGGCUAACUACGUGCCAGCAGCCGCGGUAAUACGUAGGGGGCAAGCGUUAUCCGGAUUUACUGGGUGUAAAGGGAGCGUAGACGGAAAGGCAAGUCAGAAGUGAAAGCCCAAGGCUCAACCAUGGGACUGCUUUUGAAACUGUUGAACUAGAUUGCAGGAGAGGUAAGUGGAAUUCCUAGUGUAGCGGUGAAAUGCGUAGAUAUUAGGAGGAACACCAGUGGCGAAGGCGGCUUACUGGACUGUAAAUGACGCUGAGGCUCGAAAGCGUGGGGAGCAAACAGGAUUAGAUACCCGCGUAC